This 30-nucleotide non-coding RNA is filed under the name Mus musculus (house mouse). The record is from RNAcentral. Lineage: Eukaryota; Metazoa; Chordata; Mammalia; Rodentia; Muridae.
UAUGCUUAGACAUGAAGGCAGCCUGCCCUG